Long non-coding RNA from Alligator sinensis (Chinese alligator), 361 nucleotides. RefSeq lists it as uncharacterized. The record is from RefSeq and is a predicted model, not a curated record. The transcript has 4 exons. Lineage: Eukaryota; Metazoa; Chordata; Crocodylia; Alligatoridae.
CACACCCCCAGCUUCUGGCCUGACCCACUGCAGGCAUGUGGCUGGAUUUCCUGAAUCAAAGCUUGUGGCCUACUUUUAUAUUGUACGUUACCUGGACCGAUUCCAAACAGCAGCGGGAAUCAGACAUCAAUUGUUUUGAAAGAACACCGGCAAGAAAAAGAAUAAGCACAUUCAUCAUUUCAUGCCGGCUAGAUAAUUGAAGAAAAGACUUUAAAGACAGAUGCCUGGAACUUCUAAGACUUGUAAUGUUGGGUUUCGCAGGCAGGCGGCUAGUCACCUGCAACAACCAAGGGGUCCUGCAGAAGCUUCCAAGCUGCUGUCAGUAUCAGAUGCCAGGGUCUGGUCGGUGGACAUGGAGGAG